GGGGAAUCUUGCACAAUGGGGGAAACCCUGAUGCAGCGACGCCGCGUGAGCGAUGAAGCCCUUCGGGGUGUAAAGCUCUUUCGACGGGAACGAUAAUGACGGUACCCGGAGAAGAAGCUGCGGCUAACUACGUGCCAGCAGCCGCGGUAAUACGUAGGCAGCGAGCGUUGUUCGGAGUUACUGGGCGUAAAGAGUAUGUAGGCGGUUGCGCAAGUUCGGUGUGAAAUCUCCCGGCUUAACUGGGAGGGUGCGCCGAAGACUGCGUGGCUAGAGUGCGGGAGAGGAGAGCGGAAUUCCUGGUGUAGCGGUGAAAUGCGUAGAUAUCAGGAGGAACACCGGUGGUGUAGACGGCUCUCUGGACCGCAACUGACGCUGAGAUACGAAAGCGUGGGGAGCAAAC
RNAcentral lists this ribosomal RNA (400 nucleotides) under uncultured bacterium. Its description in RNAcentral is "bacterial SSU rRNA". It matches the Rfam family "Bacterial small subunit ribosomal RNA", at positions 356 to 773 of the family's 1533-position model. The record is from RNAcentral.